RNA transcript from Saccostrea cuccullata (small rock oyster), 2138 nucleotides. It is a transcript of the gene named alanine--glyoxylate aminotransferase-like, with no coding region annotated. Lineage: Eukaryota; Metazoa; Mollusca; Bivalvia; Ostreida; Ostreidae. The record is from RefSeq and is a predicted model, not a curated record. The transcript is spliced from 13 exons.
UUGUCGCCCCAAAUCCCUGACGCAGGUCAUUUGAUAUCAAGGUGUACGUGUAGAAUUUCUUGGGAUAAGUGACCCGAACUGUCAUUUCAUACAUAUCAUGUUUAUUUAGAAAAGCACAGGGAAACGGGAACAGUUUGCAAUGCGAGUUGUUUCCCCUCUCUACACCGUUGUCCGGAGUUGCGUGUUGAACGCUGUGACGAAAUCACAACUAGAACGUGUACGGUUUGUGUCUACCAAAAUGCCUAGCGUCUCACCCCCACCGCAGAGCUUGAUGAAGCCCAUGGAUUUUCCUCACAAGCUGUUGAUGGGUCCAGGCCCUUCCAACUGUCCACCACGUGUACUAAACGCCCAAUCCUUUCCAUUAUUAGGGCACCUGCACCCCGAAUUUACUCAGAUAAUGGAUGAAGUGAAAGCUGGCAUUCAGUAUGCAUUCCAGACCAAAAAUACAUGGACUGUUUGUGUUUCAGGAACAGGCCAUGCUGCUAUGGAGGCGGCCUGUGCUAACCUUCUGGAGACAGGGGAGACAGCCCUGAUCUGUGAGAAUGGACUCUGGGGUCAAAGGUUUGCAGACAUGUGUACAAGAAAUGGAGCUGCUGUUCAGAAAAUUAUCAAGCCAAUGGGACAAGUAUUCACACUUCAGGAUGUAGAGGCAGGUCUGCAGCAACACAAGCCGGCGUUGGUGUUUGUGACUCACGGUGAAUCUUCAGGGUCAACACUCCAGCCCUUGGAGGGACUGGGGCAGCUCUGUCAUAAAUAUAACAGUCUUCUAUUGGUGGACUCGGUGGCUGCCUGCGGAGGGGUACCACUUUUUGUUGAUGAAUGGGAGAUAGAUGCUAUCUACACCGGUGCUCAGAAAGUGAUAAGUGCCCCACCUGGAGUCAGUCCUGUGUCCUUCUCUGACCGGGCCAAGAGUAAAGUAUUAAACAGGAAGACACCGGUCAGGUCCUACUACUUUGACAUGUCCCACCUGGCCAACUACUGGGGGUGUGACGAGGGACCGAGGAGGUAUCAUCACACAGGUCCUAUAUCCAGUGUCUACGCCAUCCGAGAGGGACUCGCCAGACUAGCAGAGGAGGGGUUGGAGAAGAGUUGGGAAACACACAGAAGAUGUGCUGAAAUGUUGUGGGAGGGUGUGGAGAAACUUGGAUUAGAGUUACUGGUCCAAGACAAGGCCAACAGACUUCCAUGUGUGACAGGUAUAAAAGUCCCAGAAGGAGUCAACUGGAAAGACGUGUCAGACUACGCUAUGAAAACGUACAAAGUUGAGAUAUCUGGAGGUCUUGGGGCGCAGGCAGGGAAGAUUUGGCGAGUUGGAAUUAUGGGAUACAAUGCUACGCCAGACAACGUACAGAAAGUUCUCCGUGCUUUGGACGAAGGAAUAAAGAGUGUUCGAGGUAAACCUCAGUCCAGGUUAUAGGCAACUAACGGGUAAUUAGCUCUGACUGGUCAUGUGAUACAGUAAGGAGGACCAAUAGAAAACUGUCUUAGAUCUAAUCCUUGAUUAUUGACAGCCAUUUGUAAUUAAUGUCUUCAAAGAUUUUUUUUUUGUAUGCAAAUUUACUAGGUAUUUUUAUAUAACUACAGUUGUCAAAAAGACAAAUUGUAAGUGUAGAAAGAACUCCAGAAGGAGAUGGAAAUAUUUUUAAAUGUACUUGUAUCUAGAUUUUUUUUUUUUACAUAUAUAUAUAUAUUGACAAUCUAUGUACUCGAAUGUUUUCCUUUGAUUGAAGGAUGCCAAAAAUUUGAUAUCAUUUACAUGUUACUGAAAACAUAUCAGAUUUUGUUAUCAUUGUGUAAUUUGUUGCCUAGUGCUAUAUGUGUAUGAAACAUUAUAUUUAUAAUUUUAUAUCCAAGUACAUGUAGAUGCAAAUUCUUUGUUUUUAAGCUGCAUUAAAUGUUUAUUUUUGUGAUUAUACAAUGUUUAUUAAUAUAAAAAACAAAUCCUCUAGUUAUCAGAGUGAUAACUGAUUUGGAGGUCAAAGGUUAUCAUACCAGUGACCUCUGCCCUGUUGAGGUUAUCCAAUGGUUGACUGCCAGAUCUGUAGAUCAGAACUUUUGACCAAUUUUUUCUGUAACAUUUUUGUGAAUUCUCUGAUUAUAUGAUUGCUAAUCAUUCCAAAGAUACAUGUGUAAAUGUU